Molecule: long non-coding RNA, 368 nt
Organism: Meriones unguiculatus (Mongolian gerbil)
Lineage: Eukaryota; Metazoa; Chordata; Mammalia; Rodentia; Muridae
Exons: 2
Source: RefSeq, a predicted model, not a curated record
UUAUUUCUAAUAUCAGAGAUCAGACCUCUACUCUUGCCUGAUGCGUCUAAAACAAAAAGGGGGAACUGUAGAGAGCUGCGGAAUGCUAUGCCUUAAAGAUGGAGCUGGUUUCUGCCUUCCACCUUCCCGAUGGUGCAGACCUGGAGAGGGUGUGGAGCACCUGAAGAUAGUUGUGAACCGCAACUAACCGCGUCCUCUGCAGGAGCAGAGAGAGCUCUGAAGAGCUGAGCCAUUCCUCCUAUCCCCAUGGAAGCCUUUAUAUUUUGCAGUAUUUGAAGAAUUUUCUGCAACAAGCAAAUGUGUUUGAAAAAAAAGUAAUUCUUGAGAAACCAGAUGAUUAACACAAAUAAAGUCAUAUCCUAGCCAAA